CAAUGCGAAGCGUUUGACUGAAGCCCCAGUAAACGGCGGCCGUAACUAUAACGGUCCUAAGGUAGCGAAAUUCCUUGUCGGGUAAGUUCCGACCUGCACGAAUGGCAUAAUGAUGGCGGCGCUGUCUCCAGCAGAGGCUCAGUGAAAUGAUGCAGUGUAUCCGCGGCUAGACGGAAAGACCCCGUGAACCUUUACUGUAGCUUUGCACUGGACUUUGAACUUGCUUGUGUAGGAUAGGUGGGAGGCUAUGAAAAUGGGACGCCAGUUCCAUUGGAGCCAUCCUUGAAAUACCACCCUGGUAAUGUUGAGGUUCUAACUCUGCCCCGUGAUCCGGGGCGAGGACCAUGUCUGGUGGGUAGUUUGACUGGGGCGGUUUCCUCCUAAAGAGUAACGGAGGCGCCCAAAGGUGCGCUCAGCGUGGUCGGAAUCACGCGUAGAGUAUAAAGGCAAAAGCGCGCUUAACUGCGAGACCCACAAGUCGAGCAGGUACGAAAGUAGGUCUUAGUGAUCCGGUGGUUCUGUAUGGAAGGGCCAUCGCUCAACGGAUAAAAGGUACUCUGGGGAUAACAGGCUGAUACCGCCCAAGAGUUCAUAUCGACGGCGGUGUUUGGCACCUCGAUGUCGGCUCAUCUCAUCCUGGGGCUGAAGCAGGUCCCAAGGGUAUGGCUGUUCGCCAUUUAAAGAGGUACGCGAGCUGGGUUUAGAACGUCGUGAGACAGUUCGGUCCCUAUCUACCGUGGGCGCUGGAAAUUUGAGAGGAUCUGCUCCUAGUACGAGAGGACCAGAGUGGACGAACCUCUGGUGUACCGGUUGUGACGCCAGUCGCAUCGCCGGGUAGCUAUGUUCGGAAGGGAUAACCGCUGAAAGCAUCUAAGCGGGAAGCCUACCUCAAGAUAAGAUUUCCCCGUGACUUUAUGUCACCUAAAGAGCCGUUGAAGACUACGACGUUGAUAGGUUGGAUGUGGAAGCAUAGUGAUAUGUGAAGCUGACCAAUACUAAUUGCUCGUGAGGCUUGACUAU
Molecule: ribosomal RNA, 1020 nt
Filed under: Heliconius melpomene vulcanus
Lineage: Eukaryota; Metazoa; Arthropoda; Insecta; Lepidoptera; Nymphalidae
Description: bacterial LSU rRNA
Rfam family: Bacterial large subunit ribosomal RNA
Source: RNAcentral